RNAcentral lists this ribosomal RNA (1020 nucleotides) under uncultured Thermodesulfovibrio sp. RNAcentral's name for it is "bacterial SSU rRNA". It matches the Rfam family "Bacterial small subunit ribosomal RNA", at positions 118 to 1122 of the family's 1533-position model. The record is from RNAcentral. Lineage: Bacteria; Pseudomonadati; Nitrospirota; Thermodesulfovibrionia; Thermodesulfovibrionales; Thermodesulfovibrionaceae.
UGGAUAACGUGCCCUGGACACGGGGAUAGCGGCGGGCCGCAAGGCCCUUUAGCGAAAGUGCCGGUAAUACCCGAUGACCCCGUAGGAUCGCAUGAUCCCGCGGGCAAAAGCUCAGGCGGUCUAGGAUCGGUUCAUGUCCUAUCAGCUAGUUGGUAGGGUAACGGCCUACCAAGGCGAUGACGGGUAGCGGGCGUGAGAGCGUGGCCCGCCACAUCGGGACUGAGACACGGCCCGGACACCCACGGGUGGCUGCAGCAACGAAUAUUCCGCAAUGGACGCAAGUCUGACGGAGCGACGCCGCGUGCAGGAAGAAGUCCCUCGGGAUGUAAACUGCUUUUGUGGGUGAGGAACAUUGACCAGCCCAAGAAUAAGCACCGGCUAACUCCGUGCCAGCAGCCGCGGUAAUACGGAGGGUGCAAGCGUUGUUCGGAGUCACUGGGCUUAAAGCGCGUGUACGCGGACUGCCACGUGCUGUGUGAAAUUCCCGAGCUCAACUCGGGAACUGCGCGGCAACCGGCAUUCUUGAGGCAAGUAGAGGUGACUGGAACGACCGGUGGAGCGGUGAAAUGCGUAGAUAUCGGUUGGAACGCCGGAGGCGAAAGCGGGUCACUGGGCUUGUCCUGACGCUGAGACGCGAAAGCGUGGGGAGCAAACAGGAUUAGAUACCCUGGUAGUCCACGCCGUAAACGAUGCGCACUAGGUAUGAGGGGCACUGACGCCGCUCGUGCCGAAGCAAAAGUGCUAAGUGCGCCGCCUGGGGAGUACGGCCGCAAGGCUAAAACUCAAAGGAAUUGACGGGGGCUCACACAAGCGGUGGAGUAUGUGGAUUAAUUCGAAGCAACGCGCAGAACCUCACCUAGGUUUUGACAUGCUAGUGGUAGGAACCCGAAAGGGGGACGACCUUAGGGUAAGCUCCCGCUAAGGAGCUAGCACAGGUGCUGCAUGGCUGUCGUCAGCUCGUGCUGUGAAGUGUCGGGUUAAGUCCCUUAACGAGCGAAACCCCUAUCGUUAGUUGCCAGC